GAAAAUAUAAAGGAUUUUGACUCAGAAUUGGAGUUAGAUUUUUGAGCUGGGCUUUCUUUCCUUUGGCUAUCUUUCAAUCUCUUAUUUAAACUUAUCUUAGAGCUCCAGAUGCUACAGGUUUUCUAGACAACAUUUUCUGCCUUCGAAACCUAUGUUUUUAGGACUCACUAGGAGGAGUAAAUGAGGAUGUAUUUGAUAGAGUUGGUGGUGGAG
Molecule: long non-coding RNA, 213 nt
Filed under: Nicotiana benthamiana
Lineage: Eukaryota; Viridiplantae; Streptophyta; Magnoliopsida; Solanales; Solanaceae
Description: long non-coding RNA (NBEN_LNC039877)
Source: RNAcentral